UACAGAGGGGGCAAGCGUUAUUCGGAAUUAUUGGGCGUAAAGGGCGCGUAGGCGGCUUUGCAAGUGGCGGGUGAAAUCCCUCGGCUUAACCGAGGAACUGCCUGUCAAACUGCAUGGCUUGAGACCAGGAGAGGUGAGUGGAAUUCCCAGUGUAGCGGUGAAAUGCGUAGAUAUUGGGAGGAACACCAGUGGCGAAGGCGGCUCACUGGACUGGUACUGACGCUGAUGCGCGAAAGCUAGGGGAGCGAACAGG
This 253-nucleotide ribosomal RNA is filed under the name uncultured bacterium. Its description in RNAcentral is "partial 16S ribosomal RNA". It matches the Rfam family "Bacterial small subunit ribosomal RNA", at positions 524 to 776 of the family's 1533-position model. The record is from RNAcentral.